UCCCAGACUCCUACGGGAGGCAGCAGUGGGGAAUAUUGCACAAUGGGGGAAACCCUGAUGCAGCGACGCCGCGUGAGUGAAGAAGUAUUUCGGUAUGUAAAGCUCUAUCAGCAGGGAAGAUAAUGACGGUACCUGAGUAAGAAGCCCCGGCUAACUACGUGCCAGCAGCCGCGGUAAUACGUAGGGGGCAAGCGUUAUCCGGAUUUACUGGGUGUAAAGGGAGCGUAGACGGCAUGGCAAGUCUGAAGUGAAAGCCCGGGGCUCAACCGCGGGACUGCUUUGGAAACUGUGCAGCUCGAGUGCAGGAGAGGUAAGCGGAAUUCCUAGUGUGGCGGUGAAAUGCGUAGAUAUUAGGAGGAACACCAGUGGCGAAGGCGGCUUACUGGACUGUAACUGACGUUGAGGCUCGAAAGCGUGGGGAGCAAACAGGAUUAGAUACCCUAGUAGU
This 448-nucleotide ribosomal RNA is filed under the name uncultured bacterium. RNAcentral describes it as "bacterial SSU rRNA". It matches the Rfam family "Bacterial small subunit ribosomal RNA", at positions 329 to 794 of the family's 1533-position model. The record is from RNAcentral.